RNAcentral lists this unclassified non-coding RNA (22 nucleotides) under Mus musculus (house mouse). RNAcentral's name for it is "oocyte_clustered_small_RNA6075". The record is from RNAcentral. Lineage: Eukaryota; Metazoa; Chordata; Mammalia; Rodentia; Muridae.
AAAGGAUGCAGUACUAGAACUC